GCCGGGGUAGGGUAGAGGUCCAUCCUGUGGCCCUGUGGAGGCUACGACCCGAGUUCGAUUCUCGGUCCCGGCCCCA
This 76-nucleotide transfer RNA is filed under the name Methanosarcina sp. KYL-1. RNAcentral's name for it is "tRNA-His". It matches the Rfam family "tRNA". Rfam says of the family: Transfer RNA (tRNA) molecules are approximately 80 nucleotides in length. Lineage: Archaea; Methanobacteriati; Methanobacteriota; Methanomicrobia; Methanosarcinales; Methanosarcinaceae. RNAcentral also lists the same sequence under 1 other name. The record is from RNAcentral.